This 503-nucleotide ribosomal RNA is filed under the name Veillonella dispar. RNAcentral's name for it is "bacterial SSU rRNA". It matches the Rfam family "Bacterial small subunit ribosomal RNA", at positions 28 to 500 of the family's 1533-position model. The record is from RNAcentral. Lineage: Bacteria; Bacillati; Bacillota; Negativicutes; Veillonellales; Veillonellaceae.
GACGAACGCUGGCGGCGUGCUUAACACAUGCAAGUCGAACGAAGAGCGAUGGAAGCUUGCUUCUAUCAAUCUUAGUGGCGAACGGGUGAGUAACGCGUAAUCAACCUGCCCUUCAGAGGGGGACAACAGUUGGAAACGACUGCUAAUACCGCAUACGAUCUAACCUCGGCAUCGAGGAUAGAUGAAAGGUGGCCUCUAUUUAUAAGCUAUCACUGAAGGAGGGGAUUGCGUCUGAUUAGCUAGUUGGAGGGGUAACGGCCCACCAAGGCGAUGAUCAGUAGCCGGUCUGAGAGGAUGAACGGCCACAUUGGGACUGAGACACGGCCCAGACUCCUACGGGAGGCAGCAGUGGGGAAUCUUCCGCAAUGGACGAAAGUCUGACGGAGCAACGCCGCGUGAGUGAUGACGGCCUUCGGGUUGUAAAGCUCUGUUAAUCGGGACGAAAGGCCUUCUUGCGAAUAGUUAGAAGGAUUGACGGUACCGGAAUAGAAAGCCACGGCUAA